Molecule: ribosomal RNA, 253 nt
Filed under: uncultured bacterium
Lineage: Bacteria
Description: partial 16S ribosomal RNA
Rfam family: Bacterial small subunit ribosomal RNA
Source: RNAcentral
AACGUAGGAGACAAACGUUAUCCGGAGUUACUGGGCGUAAAGGGCGUGUAGGUGGUUUCGUAAGUCUGGCGUGAAAUAUCUCGGCUUAACCGAGGCAGGUCGUCGGAUACUGCGGAACUUGAGGACGGUAGAGGCGUGUGGAAUUCCGGGUGUAGUGGUGAAAUGCGUAGAGAUCCGGAGGAACACCAGUGGCGAAGGCGACACGCUGGGCCGUACCUGACACUGAUGCGCGACAGCAUGGGGAGCAAACAGG